RNAcentral lists this ribosomal RNA (891 nucleotides) under Dirina candida. RNAcentral's name for it is "LSU rRNA". It matches the Rfam family "Eukaryotic large subunit ribosomal RNA", at positions 40 to 943 of the family's 3401-position model. The record is from RNAcentral. Lineage: Eukaryota; Fungi; Ascomycota; Arthoniomycetes; Arthoniales; Roccellaceae.
AUAUCAAUAAGCGGAGGAAAAGAAACCAACAGGGAUUGCCCUAGUAACGGCGAGUGAAGCGGCAACAGCUCAAAUUUAAAAUCUGGCCCCCUCGGGGUCCGAGUUGUAAUUUGCAGAGGAUGCUUCGGCGUCGGUCCCGGGUUAAGUCCCCUGGAACGAGGCGCCCUAGAGGGUGAGAGCCCCGUACUCGCCCGGGCGUCCUUCGCCGUGUGAAGCUCCUUCGACGAGUCGAGUUGUUUGGGAAUGCAGCUCUAAGCGGGAGGUAUAUUUCUUCUAAAGCUAAAUACCGGCCAGAGACCGAUAGCGCACAAGUAGAGUGAUCGAAAGAUGAAAAGCACUUUGGAAAGAGAGUUAAAAAGCACGUGAAAUUGUUGAAAGGGAAGCUCUUGCCGCCAGACUUGCCGCGGUUGCUCAGCCGUCCCCCUUCGGGGUGCGGUGUACUCUUCCGCCGGCAGGCCAGCGUCGGUUCGGGCGGCCGGAUAAAGGCUUCGGGAAUGUAGCACCCUCCGGGGCGUGUUAUAGCCCGGGGUGCAAUGCGGUCAGCCCGGUCCGAGGCACGCGUUCGCGAGGACGCUGGCGUAAUGGCUGCAAGCGACCCGUCUUGAAACACGGACCAAGGAGUCUAACAUCUGUGCGAGUGUUUGGGCCUCAAACCCAUGCGCGUAAUGAAAGUGAACGGAGGUGGGAACCCCCUCGAGGGGCGCACCAUCGACCGAUCCUGAUGUCUUCGGAUGGAUUUGAGUAAGAGCAUAGCUGUUGGGACCCGAAAGAUGGUGAACUAUUCCCGGAUAGGGUGAAGCCAGAGGAAACUCUGGUGGAGGCUCGCAGCGGUUCUGACGUGCAAAUCGAUCGUCAAAUCUAGGAAUAGGGGCGAAAGACUAAUCGAACCAU